Tympanuchus pallidicinctus (lesser prairie-chicken) is the source of this 774-nucleotide long non-coding RNA. RefSeq lists it as uncharacterized. The transcript is spliced from 3 exons. Lineage: Eukaryota; Metazoa; Chordata; Aves; Galliformes; Phasianidae. The record is from RefSeq and is a predicted model, not a curated record.
CAUUAUUUAGCAGCAAUUCCCCUUGUCUUGUCAAAGCCAGAGACAAAAAAAAAAAAAAAAAAAAAAAAAAAAAAAGCAGCCGCUCUAUAUGCACACAUAUAUCCACGCCCGUAUAUGUGCACACCCGGCCGCAGCGCUUCCCGAGGCAGCGAGCCGGGAGCGGAGCGGCGCUGCGGGGAACGGCUGCGACGAGCGAGAGUGGAACAACCGCGAGGAGAGGCACACGCACAGCACUCACGCACACGCACGGCAAGCGCGGGGAUCACCCGGGCUCUGCUGGCUAACAGGGGCCGCCAUCAGCAGCAGCACCGGCGGAGAGCAAAUCGGACAGGCCCCUCUUAGGGAGGAUUUAUCUAUAGACUUCUCCUAUCCUCCGGUACGGGGAAAUACCACCACCACCACCACCAGCAACGAGAACGCACAAAAAACAGCCAGCAAACACGAUGAGUUUCUGUGUAUUUCUUCUUUUUUCUCUCUCUUUCCUUUUUCUUUCUCUUUUUCCUUUUUUCUUUCUCUACGUAUCAAAAAAAAAAAAAAAAAAAAAAAAAAAAAAAAAAAAAAAAAAAACCACACACACGGUCAAGCCCCCACCGUGCGGGUUACGAUCGGCCCGUCAGCAGCCCACAUGGAACCGAACUGUCGUGUCUCAUGGCUUUUUGCCACUCCAGCUGUCAAUCAAAGCCAGGGAAUGUCAAGGUAUUUUGUCUCCCUCUCUCCCCGCGCUUGGAGAUGAGCGAGUGUCAGUGAGUGCUGGCAGGUUGGCUGCCGGCUGCC